ACAGAGUCAGUUUGGAUGAUCUGUGGUUAGCUUGUUCCUCCUCUAAAAAGGGUUCAUAAAAGGUCUAGAUGUGAGAUUACAGACUGCAGACGAGCUUCAGUCGAGUAGAGGAACUUUAGCAGAGUGAGAUUUCAAAGGUUUAACAGAGAGAAGAAGAAGAAGAAGAAGAAGAAGAAGGAUGUUGAAUGUGAAGAUGUUCCUGCUGAUCCUAGCUGUUGGCGCUGCAGUCGUGUUAUCAAACGGACAAAAGGGAGCUGUUGAACAAAAUCCCACGCCAGCUCAAGCACAAAAUGUGUCAAUGCCAACUACUAAAAGCGACUGCUCUCUGUCCACCGCCAGACUCCUCCCCGUCCUCGUGGUCCAGGCCUUCUCGUUUUUGCUCAUGUUUGUUUUCUAAAAAGAGAAGCUUCUUGUCAUGAUUGCAAUCAUAUCAGUUGUGUGUUUCUGUUAAUGUUUUACUGAUGUGUCACACACAUACGCCUUUUUAAAAUCCUGUAGAGAUUCUGGUGCAUGAAAUGUUCUCUGUAAUUCUUCUGUAGUUGCUACUUUCAUGAAAGACUUCUAAACUGAAGCUUCAAAUAAAACCGAUGUUAAGCUCA
This is a long non-coding RNA of Notolabrus celidotus (New Zealand spotty), 599 nucleotides long. RefSeq lists it as uncharacterized. The record is from RefSeq and is a predicted model, not a curated record. The transcript is spliced from 3 exons. Lineage: Eukaryota; Metazoa; Chordata; Actinopteri; Labriformes; Labridae.